AACGAACGCUGGCGGCAUGCCUAACACAUGCAAGUCGAACGAUUGCCUUCGGGUGAUAGUGGCGCACGGGUGCGUAACGCGUGGGAAUCUGCCCUUAGGUUCGGAAUAACAGCUGGAAACGGCUGCUAAUACCGGAUGAUAUCGCGAGAUCAAAGAUUUAUCGCCUGAGGAUGAGCCCGCGUUGGAUUAGGUAGUUGGCGGGGUAAAGGCCUACCAAGCCGACGAUCCAUAGCUGGUCUGAGAGGAUGAUCAGCCACACUGGGACUGAGACACGGCCCAGACUCCUACGGGAAGCAGCAGUGGGGAAUAUUGGACAAUGGGCGCAAGCCUGAUCCAGCAAUGCCGCGUGAGUGAUGAAGGCCCUAGGGUUGUAAAGCUCUUUUACCCGGGAAGAUAAUGACUGUACCGGGAGAAUAAGCCCCGGCUAACUCCGUG
Molecule: ribosomal RNA, 435 nt
Filed under: uncultured bacterium
Lineage: Bacteria
Description: partial 16S ribosomal RNA
Rfam family: Bacterial small subunit ribosomal RNA
Source: RNAcentral